Molecule: transfer RNA, 72 nt
Filed under: Ignavibacteria bacterium
Lineage: Bacteria; Pseudomonadati; Ignavibacteriota; Ignavibacteria
Description: tRNA-Glu
Rfam family: tRNA
About the family: Transfer RNA (tRNA) molecules are approximately 80 nucleotides in length. Their secondary structure includes four short double-helical elements and three loops (D, anti-codon, and T loops). Further hydrogen bonds mediate the characteristic L-shaped molecular structure. tRNAs have two regions of fundamental functional importance: the anti-codon, which is responsible for specific mRNA codon recognition, and the 3' end, to which the tRNAs corresponding amino acid is attached (by aminoacyl-tRNA synthetases). tRNAs cope with the degeneracy of the genetic code in two manners: having more than one tRNA (with a specific anti-codon) for a particular amino acid; and 'wobble' base-pairing, i.e. permitting non-standard base-pairing at the 3rd anti-codon position.
Source: RNAcentral
GCUCGGUUCGUCUAACGGUUAGGACACAUGGUUUUCAACCAUGGAAUAGGGGUUCGAUUCCCCUAUCGAGUA